Molecule: ribosomal RNA, 156 nt
Filed under: Lupinus angustifolius (narrow-leaved blue lupine)
Lineage: Eukaryota; Viridiplantae; Streptophyta; Magnoliopsida; Fabales; Fabaceae
Description: rRNA 5_8S_rRNA
Rfam family: 5.8S ribosomal RNA
About the family: 5.8S ribosomal RNA (5.8S rRNA) is a component of the large subunit of the eukaryotic ribosome. It is transcribed by RNA polymerase I as part of the 45S precursor that also contains 18S and 28S rRNA. Functionally, it is thought that 5.8S rRNA may be involved in ribosome translocation.
Source: RNAcentral
GACUCUCGACAAUGGAUAUAUCGGCUCUUGCGUCGAUGAAGAAUGUAGCAAAAUACAGUACUUGAUGUGAAUUGCAUAAUCCUGUGAACCAUCGAGUCUUUGAACGUAAGUUGCGCCUGAAGCCAUUAGGUCGAGGGCACACUUGACUGAGUGUUG